Molecule: transfer RNA, 66 nt
Filed under: Perna viridis (Asian green mussel)
Lineage: Eukaryota; Metazoa; Mollusca; Bivalvia; Mytilida; Mytilidae
Description: tRNA-Leu
Source: RNAcentral
GUCCGUCUGACAGAAAUAAUGUGAAUGAUUUAGGUUCAUUUUAUGGAGAAAUAUCUUCGACGGUUA